GAUGAACGCUGGCGGCGUGCUUAACACAUGCAAGUCGAACGGUGAACACGGAGCUUGCUCUGUGGGAUGAGUGGCGAACGGGUGAGUAACACGUGAGCAACCUGCCCCUGACUCUGGGAUAAGCGCUGGAAACGGCGGCUAAUACUGGAUAUGUGACGUGACCGCAUGGUCUGCGUUUGGAAAGAUUUUUCGGUUGGGGAUGGGCUCGCGGCCUAUCAGCUUGUUGGUGGGGUAGUGGCUUACCAAGGCGUCGACGGGUAGCCGGCCUGAGAGGGUGACCGGCCACACUGGGACUGAGACACGGCCCAGACUCCUACGGGAGGCAGCAGUGGGGAAUAUUGCACAAUGGGCGCAAGCCUGAUGCAGCAACGCCGCGUGAGGGAUGACGGCCUUCGGGUUGUAAACCUCUUUUAGCAGGGAAGAAGCGAAAGUGACGGUACCUGCAGAAAAAGCGCCGGCUAACUACGUG
RNAcentral lists this ribosomal RNA (469 nucleotides) under uncultured bacterium. RNAcentral's name for it is "partial 16S ribosomal RNA". It matches the Rfam family "Bacterial small subunit ribosomal RNA", at positions 28 to 507 of the family's 1533-position model. The record is from RNAcentral.